Molecule: ribosomal RNA, 537 nt
Filed under: uncultured bacterium
Lineage: Bacteria
Description: bacterial SSU rRNA
Rfam family: Bacterial small subunit ribosomal RNA
Source: RNAcentral
UGACGAGGAAGUAACGUUCCUUUUCCUUCGGGACAGAGGAGACAGGUGGUGCAUGGUUGUCGUCAGCUCGUGUCGUGAGAUGUUGGGUUAAGUCCCGCAACGAGCGCAACCCUUACCUUCAGUAGCCAGCGAGUAAAGUCGGGCACUCUGGAGGGACUGCCAGGGAUAACCUGGAGGAAGGUGGGGAUGACGUCAAAUCAUCAUGCCCCUUAUGAUUUGGGCUACACACGUGCUACAAUGGCGUAAACAAAGGGAAGCGAAGCCGUGAGGUGAAGCAAAUCCCAAAAAUAACGUCUCAGUUCGGAUUGUAGUCUGCAACUCGACUACAUGAAGCUGGAAUCGCUAGUAAUCGCGAAUCAGAAUGUCGCGGUGAAUACGUUCCCGGGUCUUGUACACACCGCCCGUCACACCAUGGGAGUUGGUAACGCCCGAAGUCAGUGACUCAACCGAAAGGGGAGAGCUGCCGAAGGCGGGACUGAUAACUGGGGUGAAGUCGUAACAAGGUAGCCGUAUCGGAAGGUGCGGCUGGAUCACCUC